AGGGAUCAUUACACAAUAAAAUAU
This 24-nucleotide ribosomal RNA is filed under the name Bipolaris cynodontis. RNAcentral describes it as "partial 18S ribosomal RNA". The record is from RNAcentral. Lineage: Eukaryota; Fungi; Ascomycota; Dothideomycetes; Pleosporales; Pleosporaceae.